CUUCAUGAAGCCGGAAUUGCUGUAAUGGCAGGUCAGCAUACUGCCGUGAAUACGUUCCCGGGCCUUGUACACACCGCCCGUCACACCAUGAGAGUUGGGAAUACCCGAAGCCUGUGAGCUAACGAAAGAGGCAGCAGUCGAAGGUAGAAUCAAUGAUUGGGGUGAAGUCGUAACAAGGUAUC
RNAcentral lists this ribosomal RNA (182 nucleotides) under uncultured bacterium. RNAcentral describes it as "partial 16S ribosomal RNA". It matches the Rfam family "Bacterial small subunit ribosomal RNA", at positions 1316 to 1500 of the family's 1533-position model. The record is from RNAcentral.